Molecule: ribosomal RNA, 87 nt
Filed under: Rhodanobacter sp. SCN 69-32
Lineage: Bacteria; Pseudomonadati; Pseudomonadota; Gammaproteobacteria; Lysobacterales; Rhodanobacteraceae
Source: RNAcentral
CCCGAUCCCAUCCCGAACUCGGAAGUGAAACGCAGCCGCGCCGAUGGUAGUGUGCACCUCGCAUGCAAGAGUAGGUCACCGCCAGGG